This 1468-nucleotide ribosomal RNA is filed under the name bacterium. RNAcentral's name for it is "bacterial SSU rRNA". It matches the Rfam family "Bacterial small subunit ribosomal RNA". The record is from RNAcentral.
CGGCUAACACAUGCAAGUCGAACGGUAGCACAGAGGAGCUUGCUCCUUGGGUGACGAGUGGCGGACGGGUGAGUAAUGUCUGGGGAUCUGCCCGAUGGAGGGGGAUAACUACUGGAAACGGUAGCUAAUACCGCAUAACGUCGCAAGACCAAAGUGGGGGACCUUCGGGCCUCACACCAUCGGAUGAACCCAGAUGGGAUUAGCUAGUAGGUGGGGUAACGGCUCACCUAGGCGACGAUCCCUAGCUGGUCUGAGAGGAUGACCAGCCACACUGGAACUGAGACACGGUCCAGACUCCUACGGGAGGCAGCAGUGGGGAAUAUUGCACAAUGGGCGCAAGCCUGAUGCAGCCAUGCCGCGUGUAUGAAGAAGGCCUUCGGGUUGUAAAGUACUUUCAGCGGGGAGGAAGGCGAUAAGGUUAAUAACCUUGUCGAUUGACGUUACCCGCAGAAGAAGCACCGGCUAACUCCGUGCCAGCAGCCGCGGUAAUACGGAGGGUGCAAGCGUUAAUCGGAAUUACUGGGCGUAAAGCGCACGCAGGCGGUCUGUCAAGUCGGAUGUGAAAUCCCCGGGCUUAACCUGGGAACUGCAUUCGAAACUGGCAGGCUAGAGUCUUGUAGAGGGGGGUAGAAUUCCAGGUGUAGCGGUGAAAUGCGUAGAGAUCUGGAGGAAUACCGGUGGCGAAGGCGGCCCCCUGGACAGAGACUGACGCUCAGGUGCGAAAGCGUGGGGAGCAAACAGGAUUAGAUACCCUGGUAGUCCACGCUGUAAACGAUGUCGACUUGGAGGUUGUGCCCUUGAGGCGUGGCUUCCGGAGCUAACGCGUUAAGUCGACCGCCUGGGGAGUACGGCCGCAAGGUUAAAACUCAAAUGAAUUGACGGGGGCCCGCACAAGCGGUGGAGCAUGUGGUUUAAUUCGAUGCAACGCGAAGAACCUUACCUGGCCUUGACAUCCAGAGAACUUAGCAGAGAUGCUUUGGUGCCUUCGGGAACUCUGAGACAGGUGCUGCAUGGCUGUCGUCAGCUCGUGUUGUGAAAUGUUGGGUUAAGUCCCGCAACGAGCGCAACCCUUAUCCUUUGUUGCCAGCGAUUCGGUCGGGAACUCAAAGGAGACUGCCGGUGAUAAACCGGAGGAAGGUGGGGAUGACGUCAAGUCAUCAUGGCCCUUACGGCCAGGGCUACACACGUGCUACAAUGGCGCAUACAAAGAGAAGCGACCUCGCGAGAGCAAGCGGACCUCAUAAAGUGCGUCGUAGUCCGGAUUGGAGUCUGCAACUCGACUCCAUGAAGUCGGAAUCGCUAGUAAUCGUAGAUCAGAAUGCUACGGUGAAUACGUUCCCGGGCCUUGUACACACCGCCCGUCACACCAUGGGAGUGGGUUGCAAAAGAAGUAGGUAGCUUAACCUUCGGGAGGGCGCUUACCACUUUGUGAUUCAUGACUGGGGUGAAGUCGUAACAAGUAGCCUAA